GGGGUAACAUUGUGCUUGCACAGAUGACGACCGGCGCACGGGUGCGUAACGCGUAUGCAAUCUACCUUUUACAGGGGAAUAGCCCAGAGAAAUUUGGAUUAAUGCCUCAUAGUAUAUAGAAAUGGCAUCAUUUUUAUAUUAAAGAUUUAUCGGUAAAAGAUGAGCAUGCGUUCUAUUAGUUAGUUGGUAAGGUAACGGCUUACCAAGACAGCGAUAGAUAGGGGUCCUGAGAGGGAGAUCCCCCACACUGGUACUGAGACACGGACCAGACUCCUACGGGAGGCAGCAGUGAGGAAUAUUGGACAAUGGGCGAGAGCCUGAUCCAGCCAUGCCGCGUGCAGGAAGACUGCCCUAUGGGUUGUAAACUGCUUUUAUACAGGAAGAAACACUGCUACGUGUAGCAGCUUGACGGUACUGUAAGAAUAAGGAUCGGCUAACUCCGUGCCAGCAGCCGCGGUAAUACGGAGGAUCCAAGCGUUAUCCGGAAUCAUUGGGUUUAAAGGGUCCGUAGGUGGAUGAUUAAGUCAGAGGUGAAAUCUUGCAGCUCAACUGUAAAAUUGCCUUUGAUACUGGUUAUCUUGAGUUAUUAUGAAGUAGUUAGAAUAUGUAGUGUAGCGGUGAAAUGCAUAGAUAUUACAUAGAAUACCAAUUGCGAAAGGCAGAUUACUAAUAAUCAACUGACACUGAUGGACGAAAGCGUGGGUAGCGAACAGGAUUAGAUACCCUGGUAGUCCACGCCGUAAACGAUGGUUACUAGCUGUUCGGACUUCGGUCUGAGUGGCUAAG
RNAcentral lists this ribosomal RNA (786 nucleotides) under Formosa algae. Its description in RNAcentral is "bacterial SSU rRNA". It matches the Rfam family "Bacterial small subunit ribosomal RNA", at positions 66 to 851 of the family's 1533-position model. The record is from RNAcentral. Lineage: Bacteria; Pseudomonadati; Bacteroidota; Flavobacteriia; Flavobacteriales; Flavobacteriaceae.